Molecule: small nuclear RNA, 290 nt
Filed under: Urocitellus parryii (Arctic ground squirrel)
Lineage: Eukaryota; Metazoa; Chordata; Mammalia; Rodentia; Sciuridae
Description: 7SK RNA (ENSUPAG00010021252.1)
Rfam family: 7SK RNA
About the family: 7SK was discovered as an abundant small nuclear RNA in the mid-70s but a possible function has only recently been suggested.
Source: Rfam by way of RNAcentral
UCGUGUAAGAUUGAUCUGUCUGUGACAACUGUCACUCUGCUGAUCACCAGUGUUGAUUUGGCAGAUAUGCAUGGCUAGAUAAAUGUACCCCUUCCUCCUUCAUCAUUCAAUGUACCUCCCUCCUGAACCCACUCACUCCACGGAAGAUGAUGACUUUCUCAGACAGAGGAGGACUGCUCUUUAGUCAAGGGUGUAGCAGUAGCUGUGUGCUCUUUUGCAGAACCUCCAAACAGUAAAGAUUUUGAAUCAUAUUAGUCGGGUCGACAUUACUGGGCCCUUUGUCCAAAUAU